GAUGAACGCUGGCGGCGUGCUUAACACAUGCAAGUCGAACGAAUCCUUCGGGAUGAGUGGCGGACGGGUGAGUAACGCGUGAGUAUCUGCCCUAAGGCGGGGGACAACCAUUGGAAACGAUGGCUAAUACCCCAUAUGCCGAGAGGUGAAAGGUUAACUACCUUAGGAUGAGCUCGCGUCUGAUUAGCUAGAUGGUGGGGUAAUGGCCUACCAUGGCGACGAUCAGUAGCUGGUCUGAGAGGAUGAUCAGCCACACUGGGACUGAGACACGGCCCAGACUCCUACGGGAGGCAGCAGUGGGGAAUUUUCCGCAAUGGGCGAAAGCCUGACGGAGCAACGCCGCGUGAGGGAGGAAUGUCUUUGGAUUGUAAACCUCUUUUCUCAAGGAAGAUAAUGACGGUACUUGAGGAAUCAGCAUCGGCUAACUCCG
Molecule: ribosomal RNA, 430 nt
Filed under: uncultured cyanobacterium
Lineage: Bacteria; Bacillati; Cyanobacteriota
Description: bacterial SSU rRNA
Rfam family: Bacterial small subunit ribosomal RNA
Source: RNAcentral